GACGAACGCUGGCGGCGUGCUUAACACAAGCAAGUCGAACGGAAAGGCCCUGCUUUUGUGGGGUGCUCGAGUGGCGAACGGGUGAGUAACACGUGAGUAACCUGCCCUUGACUUUGGGAUAACUUCAGGAAACUGGGGCUAAUACCGGAUAGGAGCUCCUGCUGCAUGGUGGGGGUUGGAAAGUUUCGGCGGUUGGGGAUGGACUCGCGGCUUAUCAGCUUGUUGGUGGGGUAGUGGCUUACCAAGGCUUUGACGGGUAGCCGGCCUGAGAGGGUGACCGGCCACAUUGGGACUGAGAUACGGCCCAGACUCCUACGGGAGGCAGCAGUGGGGAAUAUUGCACAAUGGGCGGAAGCCUGAUGCAGCAACGCCGCGUGCGGGAUGACGGCCUUCGGGUUGUAAACCGCUUUCGCUUGUGACGAAGCGUGAGUGACGGUAAUGGGUAAAGAAGCACCGGCUAACUACGUG
Molecule: ribosomal RNA, 468 nt
Filed under: uncultured bacterium
Lineage: Bacteria
Description: partial 16S ribosomal RNA
Rfam family: Bacterial small subunit ribosomal RNA
Source: RNAcentral